Molecule: ribosomal RNA, 155 nt
Filed under: uncultured marine bacterium
Lineage: Bacteria
Description: partial 16S rRNA
Rfam family: Bacterial small subunit ribosomal RNA
Source: RNAcentral
UGAGGAAUAUUGGGCAAUGGAGGCAACUCUGACCCAGCCAUGCCGCGUGCAGGAAGACGGCCCUAUGGGUUGUAAACUGCUUUUAUACAGGAAGAAACACUCGUACGUGUACGAGCUUGACGGUACUGUAAGAAUAAGGACCGGCUAACUCCAUG